Molecule: long non-coding RNA, 407 nt
Organism: Misgurnus anguillicaudatus (oriental weatherfish)
Lineage: Eukaryota; Metazoa; Chordata; Actinopteri; Cypriniformes; Cobitidae
Source: RefSeq, a predicted model, not a curated record
GUUUUGAUAGGUCCCUGUGGCAGCAGAAAACUCGACUCAAGUUUACUUUUUUGAGCUUGAAAUAGAGUCAUUAGUAUAUCAUGAAACAUACCUCUCGAUGUUGUCACCUUUAAAUAUACCAAAUGCGAUUGUCUCAAACAUCAACAUUACAGCAGAUUGUAAAGUGAAUGAAAGCGACAGCACCAAAAAAAUCUGUUCAUGCACGUAUGGACACAGAUGGACUUCAGAUAUAUGCGACAGAUACAAAUGCUGCAAAAAUGAGAACUGCACACUUAAUGUCACAAAUAAUGCCACAGAUGUUGCCGUGUGCCUGCCUAUUAAUACAGUGAUUAUCAAUGGGUCGACUACCUUUCCAAGUUAUAAUUAUGGUGAUUUAUAUGAUCAAAACAACAAACAAACUGAUAAGU